Molecule: ribosomal RNA, 253 nt
Filed under: uncultured bacterium
Lineage: Bacteria
Description: partial 16S ribosomal RNA
Rfam family: Bacterial small subunit ribosomal RNA
Source: RNAcentral
UACGUAGGGUGCGAGCGUUAAUCGGAAUUACUGGGCGUAAAGCGUGCGCAGGCGGUUUUGUAAGCCAGAUGUGAAAUCCCCGGGCUUAACCUGGGAAUGGCAUUUGGGACUGCAAGGCUCGAGUGCGGCAGAGGAGACUGGAAUUCCUGGUGUAGCAGUGAAAUGCGUAGGUAUCAGGAGGAACACCGAUGGCGAAGGCAGGUCUCUGGGCUGACACUGACGCUCAUGCACGAAAGCGUGGGGAGCAAACAGG